UACGUAGGGUGCGAGCGUUGUCCGGAAUUAUUGGGCGUAAAGAGCUUGUAGGUGGUUUGUCGCGUCUGCUGUGAAAAUCCGAGGCUCAACCUCGGACUUGCAGUGGGUACGGGCAGACUAGAGUGUGGUAGGGGGAGACUGGAAUUCCUGGUGUAGCGGUGGAAUGCGCAGAUAUCAGGAGGAACACCGGUGGCGAAGGCGGCAUCCUGGACCGGUAUUGACGCUGGAGGGAGCGAAAAGCGUGGGGGAG
This 250-nucleotide ribosomal RNA is filed under the name uncultured bacterium. Its description in RNAcentral is "partial 16S ribosomal RNA". It matches the Rfam family "Bacterial small subunit ribosomal RNA", at positions 524 to 769 of the family's 1533-position model. The record is from RNAcentral.